GCAACAGUCACAAUCUACACCCAGCAUCUAACCCAAGACGCUCUUCUCCCGGAACCAUCUCUGGAUUUGAAGCCUUUCGGAGCGUUACUUUUCUCAAUCGGAAUUGCUGGUAAUUUCUACCACCAUUACUUGCUCUCCAAGCUACGAACUAACAGCAACAACAAGGAGGAGAAGAACAAGAGUAAAGAUCAGUACAAGAUUCCAAAGGGAGGGAUGUUCGACCUUGUGAUCUGCCCUCAUUACCUUUUCGAGAUAAUGGUGUUCUAUGGCAUCUCAUUCAUGUCUCAGACGCUGUAUUCUUUCGCUGUCGCUAUCGGAACAACUGCUUACUUGACUGGAAGGAGCUACGUUACCAGGAAAU
This 361-nucleotide long non-coding RNA is filed under the name Linum usitatissimum (flax). RNAcentral's name for it is "long non-coding RNA (LUSI_LNC003168)". The record is from RNAcentral. Lineage: Eukaryota; Viridiplantae; Streptophyta; Magnoliopsida; Malpighiales; Linaceae.